Molecule: ribosomal RNA, 478 nt
Filed under: uncultured bacterium
Lineage: Bacteria
Description: bacterial SSU rRNA
Rfam family: Bacterial small subunit ribosomal RNA
Source: RNAcentral
UCAGGAUGAACGCUGGCGGCGUGCCUAACACAUCAAGUCGAACGGACGCGUCCCUUCGGGGGACAAGUUAGUGGCGGACGGGUGAGUAAUGCAUGAGCAACCUGCCUCGAAGAGGGGAAUAACACAGAGAAAUUUGUGCUAAUACCGCAUAAUGUAUCCGGGAGGCAUCUUCCGGAUAAGAAAGGAGCAAUCCGCUUUGAGAUGGGCUCAUGUCUGAUUAGACAGUUGGCGGGGUAACGGCCCACCAAAUCUACGAUCAGUAGCCGGACUGAGAGGUUGAACGGCCACAUUGGGACUGAGACACGGCCCAGACUCCUACGGGAGGCAGCAGUGGGGAAUAUUGGACAAUGGGCGAAAGCCUGAUCCAGCCGACGCCGCGUGAAGGAAGAAGGUCUUCGGAUUGUAAACUUUAGUGAGCAGGGACGAUAAUGACGGUACCUGCAUAGCAAGCCACGGCUAACUACGUGCCAGCCGCAGC